RNAcentral lists this ribosomal RNA (253 nucleotides) under uncultured bacterium. Its description in RNAcentral is "partial 16S ribosomal RNA". It matches the Rfam family "Bacterial small subunit ribosomal RNA", at positions 524 to 776 of the family's 1533-position model. The record is from RNAcentral.
UACGUAGGGCGCAAGCGUUAUCCGGAAUUAUUGGGCGUAAAGAGCUCGUAGGCGGUUUGUCGCGUCUGCCGUGAAAGUCCGGGGCUCAACUCCGGAUCUGCGGUGGGUACGGGCAGACUAGAGUGAUGUAGGGGAGACUGGAAUUCCUGGUGUAGCGGUGAAAUGCGCAGAUAUCAGGAGGAACAUCGAUGGCGAAGGCAGGUCUCUGGGCAUUAACUGACGCUGAGGAGCGAAAGCAUGGGGAGCGAACAGG